AUGUUACACGAGAAUCCAGAAGAGAUGCACUCCAGGAGUGCUGUGCAGUGCCAUAGAUGCCCUUUGCUGUGCACUGUGUGGUCAGAGGUUGUGUCUGUGCUGUCCCUGCUGUCCCUGACUGUUGUUGUCCCCCAGGGAUGGUGCUGGUGCGCACGGACGCCGGACAGCUCGUCAUGGUGCCCCAGCAGGCCCUGGCACAGGCUCAGAUGCAGGCCCAGGUGCAGACACAGGGACAGGGUCCUGCCAACAUGUCACCCAGGCUUUCUGUGCCCACCACUGGCCCUGUGUUUCGCCUCUCAACAGCUCAGCAGCCAACGUCCAUGGGCACCUCCAGCGUCCGCCUGGGGCUCCCCGUGCAAGCCAAGGUGGUGCCAUCGACAGCAGCGCCCGCCAGCGCCACAGCCACGCUGCCAGGAGGGGCUGUGCUGUCCCACACCACGGUCAGGGCCUGCUGGGGACACUGCCAGGGCUGGGACACUGCUGGGGACACACUGCCCGUGCUGGGGGACACUGUGCUGGGAACACUGUGCCCGUGCUGGGGGACGCUGCC
RNAcentral lists this long non-coding RNA (550 nucleotides) under Junco hyemalis (dark-eyed junco). RNAcentral's name for it is "lncRNA (ENSJHYG00000011768.1)". Lineage: Eukaryota; Metazoa; Chordata; Aves; Passeriformes; Passerellidae. The record is from RNAcentral.